GAGAAGCACAAGGACUGGACUUUGACAGGAAGCAACGAGGCAAGAGGGAAGCUCGAGAACAGGUUUUGCUGAGGAUUCCCCCCAAGAAAAGUGCUCCCCGGGAGGCCGUUCCUGGCACCAAGACUGGCGGAGCCACCACACCCGUUAAAGGGAUCCACCUGGACAGCGAUCAGGCAAGCACCUCCAAGGAUCACGUAGGACCAGCAGAAGCAGCGUAAAGUAUUGGAACUUUGAAUCUGACAUCAGAAAGACCUGCACUCAGCCGGGCACGGUGGCUCACGAUUGUAAUCCCAGGCCGAGGCGGUGGAUCACUUGAGAUUCACUGAUUCUAGGUAAAUCAGAGGAACAAGCAACA
This 355-nucleotide long non-coding RNA is filed under the name Homo sapiens (human). Its description in RNAcentral is "non-protein coding lnc-OSBPL9-1:4". Lineage: Eukaryota; Metazoa; Chordata; Mammalia; Primates; Hominidae. The record is from RNAcentral.